Long non-coding RNA from Gossypium raimondii (Peruvian cotton), 1243 nucleotides. RefSeq lists it as uncharacterized. The transcript is spliced from 2 exons. Lineage: Eukaryota; Viridiplantae; Streptophyta; Magnoliopsida; Malvales; Malvaceae. The record is from RefSeq and is a predicted model, not a curated record.
CUAAAUCCCCUAAAUCUGCCAUUUGAGUCUCCUUUUCCAGAGAAGACAAAGCUCCAAAUCUGGAGCCUUCCAAAUUUUCCCCCUAAUUUUCGCUUUAGACCCCCGAUUUCCAUCCGAUUUGCGUCAAGACUUGCGUUCAACCACCAUCCAAGGACCAAAAGCUUCAUCCAUGGCCACCGACCCUCCUCCCAUCUACAUUGGAGUUAUGUUGUUAGUCAUCGAUUUUAUAGAAGUUUCCCCGCCGUCAUCGCUGCUCCGAUCUGUCAUAGAGGAAAGACAUGAAGUUUUAAAGUGGCCAUAUUUUCUGCAGGAAAAACAUACCACGGGUGAAGGUUCAAACUCCACUCGUUGUAAACGCCCAUUGACCCAAACCUGUGAGGUUAGAGACUUCUCAAGAUCCACUACCAUACGGGCGAACUAACCCCUCUCACCACUGAACCCCGGCAGACCUGGAAAGCGAAUCCAGGCUAAGAUCCCGUUUGGAAAAGGUCUCGAUGGGUCGAAGUCCACAAUCCAUGGCUGAACAGUGAGGUAGUGUCCAAAUACUGUCCAGGGGCCACGAGUCAACGCCAUUUCAUAAUCCCCCAUGCUUUGAAACCUAACUAGAUAAUACCCAUUAGCCACAUCCAUUAAACGGAAGGGUUGUGAAGGUUUCCAGAGAUUGAGAAUACAUUUGUGAAGAGCCCCAUAGCCUAUAUUACGCCCUAAUAGCUUAACCACCAUCGUAGACUCCAUAUCCCUAACCAUAAUCUUUUUAAUCCGAUCCCAAAAAUCUAUGCCAGGAAUUCCAUUGGUGACUGAUCUGAGGAUCAAUAUUAGUAGCAGCACCUAGAGAACCAGAACCCGACUCACCCAAAAGUUUAUCCUUCCAGGUGAUUACGCUCACCGGAGUCGAGUCAACCGCCAUAUUCUCCAUUGGACCUUCACCUCCUUCCUUAAAUCGAACAUUUUUGGUGAUACGAUCUUCGAUAAUGCCUUCACUAUCUUCAGUCUGAACAUCAGACAAGGAUUCAAUGUUGUUCAUGUUCACUAGAGAGGAAGUGCCUUCGAUGUUUUUAAACGUACGUACACACACACACAAAAAAAAAAGUCAAAUUGCAUUUUUUUUAAAUGGUCUAAUAGCAUACUUUGAGUUACUGUAGUUUCUUUCCUAUUCCAUGCUUACGGUUUUAACUUUAUUCAAUUCGUUCCAUGUAAAACACCAACUUAAAUAUUAUAUUAAAAGAAAACACUUUAUUUUAAA